GAUGAAGAACGUAGCGAAAUGCGAUAAGUAAUGUGAAUUGCAGAAUUCAGUGAAUCAUCGAAUCUUUGAACGCACCUUGCACCCUUUGGCAUUCCGAAGGGUAUGCUCGUUUGAGUGUCAUUGUACUCUCACACUUCCAAUUCUUUGGAUUGGGAGCGGUGGACUUGGGUGCUGCUGCUUACCGUGGCUCACCUCAAAUGUGUUAGUGCAACCGUUGGUUAGACAUAGUACAGCGUGAUAAGUAUCUUCGCUGGCGCCUCACCAGAGGGUGGCUGAUCAGGGCUUUGUGCUUCCAAUCGUCUUCGGACAACCGCUGAUAACUUGACCUCAAAUCGAGUAGGACUACCCGCUGAACUUAAGCAUAUCAAUAAGCGGAGGA
Molecule: unclassified non-coding RNA, 379 nt
Filed under: soil metagenome
Description: partial contains 5.8S ribosomal RNA, internal transcribed spacer 2, and large subunit ribosomal RNA
Rfam family: 5.8S ribosomal RNA (bases 1-120)
Source: RNAcentral